UGCACGCAUGUUGGAUCAUGCAUGAUUUAGUGGUUCGAAAUGUGUUGUUAUGCUGACAGAUCGUGGGAAUUGCGCUUUCUCUGCGAGCAGUUACCACACUCAGUAAACAGCAGUGGCUAGUGAAAGGAGAGCCCCAAUAUGGGGAAUGUUGGUUGCUACAAACCGUUUUCUUUGCAGAAAUCGACUUUCUCGAGAAACAUUUGACUCCAGAAAAGCUUUUCGUGAUGCAACUAUUAUACAAGACGACAGAGAGCUAAUGCUAUGGAUGUGUUCAACGUGAAUUAGCAAACUUUGGAUAGCACAAGGCAAAGACAAUCUUGUGAUGAGCAAUUGAGAAGCGGUGCCAUACCUUCAAGCAGUGUAUCAGGAUGUGUGAAGAAUAUUGGAAGGUGGAUCGGGGAAUGACAUGUCAAAGUACUCUCUAGCAAAAUCUAGCGACUGCUGUGACAUUUCUUACCAGAUUUAUGACGUUUGUUUACCAGUUUACAAUGCUGUAUACGCAUAACUCAAUCUUAACCAGUUAUAGUCAUUACCAGUUGGAUAUAACAGUGUACGCUCUAGAUGUUGAAGAAAGACUCAAAGUAACAUGAUAAUGUUUUGUGCUUGUA
This is a long non-coding RNA of Corticium candelabrum, 608 nucleotides long. RefSeq lists it as uncharacterized. The record is from RefSeq and is a predicted model, not a curated record. Lineage: Eukaryota; Metazoa; Porifera; Homoscleromorpha; Homosclerophorida; Plakinidae. The transcript has 3 exons.